RNAcentral lists this ribosomal RNA (1243 nucleotides) under metagenome. Its description in RNAcentral is "bacterial LSU rRNA". It matches the Rfam family "Bacterial large subunit ribosomal RNA", at positions 1564 to 2817 of the family's 2925-position model. The record is from RNAcentral.
UGAAUACGAGACGCUACGGCGUCGAAGCAGUCUAUGUCAUACUUCCAAGAAAAGCUCGCUAUGUCAUAAACCAAGAAUGCCUGUACCAUAACCGACACAGGUGGGUAGGUAGAGUAUACUAAGGGGCGCGAGAUAACUCUCUCUAAGGAACUCGGCAAAAUGACUCCGUAACUUCGGGAGAAGGAGUGCCUUAUUUCUAAGGUUGCAAUAACAAGAUCCAAGCAACUGUUUAUCAAAAACACAGGUCUCCGCUAAGUCGUAAGACGAUGUAUGGGGGCUGACGCCUGCCCAGUGCCAGAAGGUUAAAGAAGUUGGUUAGCAUUCGCGAAGCUGAUAACUGAAGCCCUGGUGAACGGCGGCCGUAACUAUAACGGUCCUAAGGUAGCGAAAUUCCUUGUCGGGUAAGUUCCGACCCGCACGAAAGGCGUAAUGAUUUGGAUACUGUCUCGGAGAGGGACUCGGUGAAAUAGACUUGUCUGUGAAGAUGCGGACUACCUGCACCUGGACAAAAGACCCUAUGAAGCUUUACUGUAACUUGACAUUGAAAUUGGACUUUAUUUGCGCAGUAUAGGUGGGAGGCGUUGAGCAGAUUCUUGCGGGAAUCUGGGAGCCAUCAGUGAGAUACCACUCUUGUAAUGUUAGAUUUCUAACUUUGGAUCCUGAUCGGGUCAAUGAACAGUGUCAGGCGGGCAGUUUGACUGGGGCGGUCGCCUCCCAAACGGUAACGGAGGCGUACAAAGGUUUCCUCUGAACGGGUAGAAAUCGUAUCUAGAGUGUAAAGGCAUAAGGAAGCUUGACUGUGAGACCUACAAGUCGAGCAGGGACGAAAGUCGGUCUUAGUGAUCUGACGGUGCUGAGUGGAAAGGCCGUCACCCAACGGAUAAAAGUUACUCUAAGGAUAACAGGCUGAUCUCCCCCAAGAGUUCACAUCGACGGGGAGGUUUGGCACCUCGAUGUCGGCUCAUCGCAUCCUGGGGCGGUAGUACGUCCCAAGGGUUGGGCUGUUCGCCCAUGAAAGCGGUACGCGAGCUGGGUUCAGAACGUCGUGAGACAGUUCGGUCCAUAUCCGGUGUAGGCGUUAGAAUAUUGAGAGGAGCCUUCUUUAGUACGAGAGGACCGAGAAGGACAUACCUCUGGUGUACCAGUUAUCGUGCCAACGGUAAACGCUGGGUAGCUAUGUAUGGAGAGGAUAACCGCUGAAAGCAUCUAAGUGGGAAGCCCACCUCAAGAUAAGUAUUCUCAU